RNAcentral lists this transfer RNA (73 nucleotides) under Poecilia formosa (Amazon molly). It matches the Rfam family "tRNA". Rfam says of the family: Transfer RNA (tRNA) molecules are approximately 80 nucleotides in length. The record is from Rfam by way of RNAcentral. Lineage: Eukaryota; Metazoa; Chordata; Actinopteri; Cyprinodontiformes; Poeciliidae.
GUUCCUGUAGUGUAGUGGUUAUCACGUUUGCUUUAUACACAAAAGGUCUCUGGUUCAAAACCAGACAGAAAUG